AGUUUCCACCUUGCUCCAGUGAAGAUAAAAGGAAAAGCAAGCUGAAGUUUCAUCAAGCUUUCGAACAGGUCAAAACAUUGACUUGCUGAUGCCUUGCACAAUGAAAAGCCCCCACGCAUGUAGUGGUAGCCUCAUUAGCCUUCUGAGAUUCUACUCUCUCCUCUCUUUUCUUCUUUUCUCUGCAGAAUUAAUAUAUAUAAAGAAAACAUUAGCUACCUCAGAAGUAAAUAAGCUUUCAUAAAAUUAAGCCACAGCUUUAAUAGUUAACUCANNNNNNNNNNNNNNNNNNNNNNNNNNNNNNNNNNNNNNNNNNNNNNNNNNNNNNNNNNNNNNNNNNNNNNNNUUUCAUCUAUUUUUUUUCUACAGAUGAAUAAGACUACUAGGAGCAGGGAGCUUGGUGUUAUUCAGGGUUGGGGUAACUGAAAAUGUUAUGUAAUAAUUAAUUUUAGUAAGCUCUGUACUGUUCCAACUUCAUGAAUAAUGUUAUGACACUAGUAAAUGAAACUAUCUAUUUUUAUUAUGAAAUUUAAAUGGCUUCGUGUUAUUGUGUACAUAAGAUUGCAAUAGCACGGCCGUGUCAUGAUCCGGAUUUGGGGCGUAACAUUAUGAGAACAGAGUAAAACGAGUUGCAAGAUUUUCUUUCAGGAUAAAAAAUUUACCUAGCAACAUACUCCUUCAGAAGCUCCUUGGCCUGGACCAAUUUUGAAAGAAGAUUGCGGUAUACAUCGAGGUCCCUAUCCACACUUUGUUUGUCUAUGUUUAAGGCAGCACAAAGCUGUCAAACAGAAAGAACUGAGUCAGCAUGAACCCACAAGCUGGGAGAAACUGGAUUUUCAUGAACCAAUGGACCUUAUACUGAGCUUUUUUUUUCUACCAUUUGGACAAACAUAAAUACCAACUAGUUAGACCAAAUGAUCUGAAUCCAUAUUUUUCAAAUGAGAAUGAAACCUUAAAUAAUGAUCUAAAUAUUACAUAAAAUUGAAUGCAGAAAAUUGACUAAUCACGGCUGAGUUGAAAAUGAUACAUUGAAAUAAGCAUUUCCUUACAAAAUAAGUAAUUUCCAAGCAGAAGCUUAUAGGUCAAUGUAUGAAUGAUUUUUAUUUUUUAAGGAAGCAAAAAUAGAAUAUUUCAACUAGAAUUCAUGGAGGUUAAUAAGUGGUGUAUCUACCUAGAGAUCCACUGACCAAACCAAGUGUUAAAGAAAUGAUGAAUAGAAGUGACUUGAGUCUCCCAAUAGAGUUUAUUUGGAUAGUAGUAAGCAUAUAAUGUGCUUCCUAAAAAUGCCAGAGUGAAGCUCAGGGGAAAAAUGUAAAACUAAAUUCUAGCAUUUUUUGAAUAUUAAUCCAACAUCUACCUAUCUGAUUAUUCAAUAUAGAUAUGUUCAAAAAAAUUGGUUCAUUAUCCUCUAGGCUUGCACAUGUGCUACUUCUGUUUCAACUUCUAACAUUUUUCCUGUAACAAGACAUGUCUGGACACAAAAGAAAGUACACAUAAAAAAAAGCCAUGUUAUAAUAAAGUUUCUUCAUAACAUUUUGGGGUACUCUCUUAGCUUGGCAACAUUGUGCAGUCAGCAUAAGCUCUAAAUAUUGAGUGUAAACAAGAACACCAAAUUUCCUAACACUAAUCCAAGGCUUUUCUUUUUUUCGGGUGAAAUGGGUAAUUCACACAACCCUUUAUCAGAGUACAAGAAUUCACGGAAAUGCCUCGAAGAGCAAGCAUCAGGGUCCCACACAAAGUUACCCAAGUGAUCUGAUAACACUAAUCCAAGGCUCAAAGUGCACAUCAUGACGAACAUAAAUGCCAGCACUGUGUCAACAGGUUCUAAUGGUGCAGGGAUAUGCACCAUUCUAUAGAUUAUGCUGGCCAAUAUCCAUGUGCAUCAACUCUUGCAGAUGCACACUGAAGCAAUAUACUCAUAGAAGAUACUGAUUCCCAUUUUAAACCUAUGCUCACCAUUUUUUGCAGCCUUACUCUAUUUCUAGAUUACCUGGGAUUCAUGCCCUCAGUUUUUUUCUAUUUUUAUUUAGAGGAUUUAAGUAUCAGUCUACAAAUUGGAAAUGGUAAUCGCAAAGUCACUCUGAAUUUCACAAAAGAUAAAGGCAAUACAUUAACUUUUCAUGGUACUGUCAAUAUGUAAUUAUCCUACAGUACUUGCAAUACAUUUACAUUGCCUAAGAUCAACAUACUCCUUCAGAAGAUCCUUGGCCUGGACAAAUUUUGAAAGAAGAUUGCGGUAUACAGUGAGGUCCCUAUCCACACUUUGUUUGUCUAUGUUUAAGGCAGCACAAAGAUAUGCUCUUGUUAUCUUAGUUAUCCCCAUAAAGAAUUUAAGGCCUAUAUUUCUUUUUCAAUGUGAGAAAUAUAAACAUGUAACGUUAGCUUGUUCAUUAAAUUACUUGAACCCAUUAUUUAAAAAGCUGCUGACUGGGCCACCAAGACUGAAGAGGUCCUUUGACAAUGCCACAUAGAGGCGAACCAUUUAGGUGGACAAUCAAUCUGGCCAGCUAGCUAGUCAGUACGUAAGCACCUGACUAGGCCUCUGCAGGAGACAGAAAUCAGGUUUGGACUAUACUCUCAGACAGAUAUAGGUACUAAGCAUGUCGAGUGGGUAUAUUAGAAUCUCCAGUUAUUGGUGCUCCAACUCUUUGGUUACUACCUACCAAUUUUACUAAUUCUUGAUUAGUUCUUUAUAUAUACUUAUAGAUAAUUCAUCCUUUGGUAGAUUUGCUUAUUGCAUUAGCUCAUCCAUUGGCAUGUCAUGUUAUACUGAAAUAUGUCCUAAAAUUUACAUAAUAACGAAAUAAAGACAAUGUAAAGAACAGAGACGAACAGAAAAUCUAGUAGAGACAAUUCCAUAGUUGCUUGACCAAGAAUAAAUAAAUUAAUGCUAGCUAAAAUAUCAGUUAUAAGACAGCCCAAUUCAUAAGCAACAGCUAUCUCUAGUAUAACAAUUUAGUACUAAAAUGAGUACAACGAAAUACAGAAGACAAAGUGUGGGUAAAUGUCAGCAAACAUGAAGAAAGGACAACCUUUUCUAAGAUCGUUGGUUCUGUUGCAUUUGCCUGCUCAAGCAGACGAAAUAGUCCAAUUGCAAAGAAUCGACUAUAGCUGAAAUUUCCCUUACCCUGAGCCCGUUCAGAAAUAUUUUUCAAAAUAUCUUCAACCUCUCCUUCUCUCGAAGAAAAAUCUGCUAAUGAAUUAGCAUUUUGAGCACGAGCC
Molecule: long non-coding RNA, 3219 nt
Filed under: Phoenix dactylifera (date palm)
Lineage: Eukaryota; Viridiplantae; Streptophyta; Magnoliopsida; Arecales; Arecaceae
Description: long non-coding RNA (PDAC_LNC003512)
Source: RNAcentral